This 134-nucleotide antisense RNA is filed under the name Escherichia coli. Its description in RNAcentral is "sok". It matches the Rfam family "sok antitoxin (CssrC)". Rfam says of the family: Also identified in Shigella as CssrC. The record is from RNAcentral. Lineage: Bacteria; Pseudomonadati; Pseudomonadota; Gammaproteobacteria; Enterobacterales; Enterobacteriaceae.
GGAAUCAGACCUAUAUGCCUCGUGUUUAACUGUCCAACUUUUUGGGGUCAGUACAAACCGAGGCCAACGAAUGAACCUAGCAAUUCAGAUCUUAGCCUCUUACCCGCCAUCCGGCAAGGAGAAAGGCUAUGAAG